This 2804-nucleotide long non-coding RNA is filed under the name Heterocephalus glaber (naked mole-rat). RNAcentral describes it as "lncRNA (ENSHGLG00100036602.1)". The record is from RNAcentral. Lineage: Eukaryota; Metazoa; Chordata; Mammalia; Rodentia; Bathyergidae.
CACAGGAGUUUAUUACCGGCCAGGACCCGAGCCGAGCAUCCAUCGGACUGGAGCCCUGACUGGGGGUUGACAAACAUGUUUUAUACACCUUUGAGGCCAGCAGUUUCUAGGCCCCCCCCUAUGGGAUAGAACUAGUAAAGCAAGCAAAAGGUACAGAAGCAGAAUGUCCUGCCGUUAGAACAUUUGUAAAACAAUAGUUGAUUGUUAUUUCUAAAGAGACUUUCUAAGGGGAGGAGGUUUUUAGCUUCCUCCUUCUGAGUUCAUCUAAAGGGCAGGCAGGUGGGUCAAGCAGCAAUAUGGAGUCUGUCUUGCUAACUAGGGUCCUUCAGAAACCAUCUCAAGCUGAUACAGGGGGAAUAGAUGUAACUCCCAAGCCUACUAGAUAUCCAAAACAUGAGUUCCUGUUCUCUAAAAUGAAAGGAUGAAUUCUAGGAACAAUGGAAGUUAAGAGUAGGAAAAACUUAUUGAGAGAAAAAGACAGCUUCUAAGAGAGACAGAAGGGGGACUGGAAAAUGGGUUACUCACUCACUCUGCUUCUCAAAGGUGUUUUAUGGGACAAAGCCAUGAGGUGAGGCGGGUUUAAGGUGGGACAAAACUAUAGUCAACUAAUAAGAUUACAAGUACAGCCGUUUAGGUAAUACUAAUCCAAUGAUAAAUCACAAAUUGGACAAAACUAUGAACAACCAAUAAGAUUGUGACAAGUAUACUGGCUUAGGUAAUAUUGACUAAUGGGGAUCCGAUGGGGAAGCAAGUCACAUAGGGAGCUUACAAAGAUUUUUCAGUGGGGCCAGAGAUUUAGCUCAGUGGUUUUGCUGCCUGCUGAGCAAGCGCAAGGACCCAAGUUUGAUCCCUGAUACCAAAAACAAAAGAAAAAAAAAUGAAUUUUAGGCCAGGGAUUUAGCUCAGUGGUUCCACCACCUGCCUCAAAAGCACAAGGUCCCAAGUUCGAUCCCUGGUACCAAAAAAAAAAAAAAAAGAUUUUCAGUAAGGGCAAGUCAAGGCUCUUUCCUGGAAAGGGUGGGUUAAAACCUUGGCCCCCCACCCGGGUGAUUGAUACCUAUUUAGAGUAUCAAUCACUGCUAUUCAUCCUUCGGAGAAGUGCACCCUGUGGGUGUGGUAGUUUCUCUUUUACAGUGCGGACCUUCAGUGAAUGUGUCUUGAUUGUCCUCCAUGUUGGCUCCUCAGGCUCAGCCCUGUCUAACUGCCUAAAAGGUAUCUAGUUAACUUAUCUAUCUACUGUACUAUCUCAAAACAUAAAAUAAAAAAAGGGCUGGAGAUGUAGUUCAGUGUAAAGGCCCUGGGUUUAAUCCCCAGUACCACCCCUCCAAACAAAAAAUUCUCAAACCACCUCUUCCACAAGGUGCACCCCACAUUCCAGUAACUGCUCCCUGGGCUUGACUCACAGCUAUAAAUCAACUGCUAGCAUGGGCAACUGAUUGGAUUCCUUUACUUAAGAGUGAGAACAACUAUUUGAGAGUUUCACCAUUCAGUUUUAGAAAGUAUCUUGUUUCCCAUUUGAUAAAUACCCUGGAAACUGUUGGGGAUUAACUAGGCUACAUAACUCAGACCUUACAUUCUCGAGGUGGGUGUUAUCUUUCUUCAGGAACAGGGAAGUAGUGGAAGGCUGCUUGCUCUGCCCCAUGGGUGGAAUGCCAAUAACCUGGCACCCCUGAGGCAAGACAGCAUUUGCUGAGGACAGUUGUCAAUAUUCUGGCAUUUGGGUGUAGAGAAAAAUCUGGUUCCUAGUUAACUUAAUCCUUAUCCACCUAUUCUCCACAGUUGCUGUUUCUUGAAACAGCAUGCUACCCCUCUUCUUGCGCUUCUCACUGGCUAAUAAAAGUGGGCCAAAGCAGAGUUUUAUUCAAAUCUGUCAGCUAGAAGCAAGUCUUCUCUCACUUCCCCUUUUAUGUCUUGAAAAUUGUCUCUUUUUAUUCCUCAUCAUUCCCUCCAAAAGGUAGCUGAAGGUCUGAUCAUCCUUCAGUAGGAAACUACCCAAGAGACCAAAUGAAGCUUUAAAUUCCAAAAUUUUAAUUGAAAUCAAGAAGCCUUUCACCUGAUGUAUACUCACAUACCCAGAAUGUCAUUUCAUAAGCAAGCAUUGCUGGCACAUUAUAUAUCAUAUUUAGGCUCCAAUUAAUGACAUCAUUCUGUUCCUCAGAUCCACAACUAAUUCCCACGAGAGAUGUUUAAAUAUAUAACCAUCUUUGCAUCAUAUCAAAUGAUAUGAUAUAUGUAGUUAAGUUGUAAGCUUUUUAAAACAGCUAUAUUGUAUACUGGCAUACUCAAUACAACAAUAAAAAUUUUUUUAAAUCUUCCGUUAUCUCAAUUAUUUCUGCUUCAUCAUCAGAAUACAAUAAAAAUAUUUGAAAGUUUCAUCACCUAGUUGUACUUCAUGAGCUGUCCUUUGUCGAUGUUGAAUGAGAAUUCAAAUGACUAGGAAGAGGAGUGAUGGAGGAAACACUGUUCCCUACCUCUACAGAACCAUGGACCACCAGUGGACAUGGGGGAGGGCUCCGAAGCAAAGGGCUGGCCUCAGCUUGAUUUGGACAGCAGUGAUUUGUAGGCAAGCCAGUCAAUGGGGAGAAAGAUGAACAAAGUUGCAAAUCCCCAAGAUGAACAUGAGUUUUUCUAGGCUUUAGAAAUAGUAUCUUUUACUUGGAUGUCCCUAAAAAAAAAAAAAAGGAAAACAAAACCAAAAGACACCUCCCCAAAUGUUUGGUAUUAAGAAUCUCUUGGGCUGGGGAUUUAGCUCAGUGGUUUCACCGCCUGCUGUGCAAGCACAAGGACUGGAGUUCGAUCCCCAG